Molecule: transfer RNA, 77 nt
Filed under: Dehalococcoidia bacterium
Lineage: Bacteria; Bacillati; Chloroflexota; Dehalococcoidia
Description: tRNA-Arg
Rfam family: tRNA
About the family: Transfer RNA (tRNA) molecules are approximately 80 nucleotides in length. Their secondary structure includes four short double-helical elements and three loops (D, anti-codon, and T loops).
Source: RNAcentral
GUCCCUGUAGCUCAACCGGAUAGAGCAGCGGACUUCUAAUCCGCAGGUUGUGGGUUCGAGUCCCACCGGGGACGCCA